Molecule: ribosomal RNA, 401 nt
Filed under: uncultured bacterium
Lineage: Bacteria
Description: bacterial SSU rRNA
Rfam family: Bacterial small subunit ribosomal RNA
Source: RNAcentral
GGGGAAUAUUGGACAAUGGGGGCAACCCUGAUCCAGCCAUGCCGCGUGAGUGAUGAAGGCCUUCGGGUUGUAAAGCUCUUUUGGCGGGGACGAUGAUGACGGUACCCGCAGAAUAAGCCCCGGCUAACUUCGUGCCAGCAGCCGCGGUAAGACGAAGGGGGCAAGCGUUGUUCGGAAUUACUGGGCGUAAAGGGCGCGUAGGCGGUUUGCUUAGUCAGGCGUGAAAGCCCUGGGCUUAACCUGGGAUGUGCGCUUGAUACUGGCAGGCUUGAGUGUGGGAGAGGUUGGUGGAAUUCCCAGUGUAGAGGUGAAAUUCGUAGAUAUUGGGAAGAACACCGGUGGCGAAGGCGGCCAACUGGACCACAACUGACGCUGAGGCGCGAAAGCGUGGGGAGCAAACA